RNAcentral lists this ribosomal RNA (486 nucleotides) under uncultured bacterium. RNAcentral describes it as "partial 16S ribosomal RNA". It matches the Rfam family "Bacterial small subunit ribosomal RNA", at positions 30 to 507 of the family's 1533-position model. The record is from RNAcentral.
AUUGAACGCUGGCGGCAUGCCUUACACAUGCAAGUCGAACGGCAGCACGGGUGCUUGCACCUGGUGGCGAGUGGCGAACGGGUGAGUAAUACAUCGGAACAUGUCCUGUAGUGGGGGAUAGCCCGGCGAAAGCCGGAUUAAUACCGCAUACGAUCUACGGAUGAAAGCGGGGGACCUUCGGGCCUCGCGCUAUAGGGUUGGCCGAUAGCUGAUUAGCUAGUUGGUGGGGUAAGGGCCUACCAAGGCGACGAUCAGUAGCUGGUCUGAGAGGACGACCAGCCACACUGGGACUGAGGCACGGCCCAGACUCCUACGGGAGGCAGCAGUGGGGAAUUUUGGACAAUGGGCGAAAGCCUGAUCCAGCAAUGCCGCGUGUGUGAAGAAGGCCUUCGGGUUGUAAAGCACUUUUGUCCGGAAAGAAAUCCUUGGCUCUAAUACAGUCGGGGGAUGACGGUACCGGAAGAAUAAGCACCGGCUAACUACGUG